CAAAGAAUAGUCUUUAUUUAGAAACUAGGUAUUUAUUGUAUUGUACCACUCAUAUAUUUAAUUAAUCUUUCUAGGGUCUCUAGCUAUAUGUGCAUUAAGAGCUUCAUAAAUUGGUAAAAUAAUGUCACUUAAAUAAUGAAAUUUAAUCUAAAGUUGAAUUUAGAUCAAGGAACCGAUGCCAUAUUAAUUUUUUACAUGCUCAAUUUGUUUGUUUUAGAUUAAAUGUGCUAAAAUAAGAGUAUAAAAUUUAAUAAUCGUCUAAGUAAUGUAAUAUAGAAAUAUAGUCCAUAUAAUUAUGUAUCUCAUACAACAAUGGUUUAUAUAUUCGCACAAAAAUAACGGAAAGUAUUGUUGCAGUUUUUGAGGCAAGUCAUGACAAUCGAGAGCAGAUUACCCCUCGUGCGUCGGUUUCGGCGUUUAUUGUGAAAUUUUGACUGCGGGUUGAGGUCUCGCCUCUCACCGAGAUCAUGAUGAAAAGUGAAACCGCGGUGCCGGCGAGUGUCACGUCGCACCAGCCGCUUGAUGCUGCGUGGUGAGGCCUGGGGCGCGGGCGGCGGGAUCCGGCUGUAGAAUGUAGGCAACUGUGACAAGGACACGCCUGUACUCUGCACUAACACUUCCAUCCAGUUUAUAACGUGCACGGCGCGCAUUUCGCAACGAUUGCUCGCGCUCGCGCCAAGCCCCACUUCACCGAUGCACGCUCGUGAGCGAUUACCUAUCUACAAGUAAGUGGGUGUGAACACGAGAUCAAUAUGGCGACCUUCGCACAGUCCGCGGUUGGGUGGACAUGACGUCAUGACCGGCUCGGUGCAACUAGAGCGAGAUGAAGUGAUGCAUCCCAGCACAGCUGUCCUAUGCAUUUUAUAUAUUGUAUUUAUCAUGUAAUAUUAUAAUAGGGACAAGAUAAACGUUGUGUUUAAUUGAAAAGACCUAGUUUACACGUUUUUUGCCAAUAAGGCAAAAUUUUAUUUAACUUGCUUUUUUAUUCUGACCAUCUGUUUGACUUUUCAAUUGACUUCAAGAAGAUAGAGGUUCUCAAUUUGGUUAUAUUUUUUUUUGUACCUCAUAACUGCAUCAGGUGUAAACCGAUUUGGAAAAUUCUUUUUUUAUCUGAAAGGAUAUAUGUACUUACAUAUUCGUUCGUAGAAUUUUAUAAAAAUCGGUUUAGUAGUGAAGUUUUAAAUGAAAAUAAUUGAUUUUUCCACGAUCGAAGUUGUUUUUUUUUGUCGAAUACAAUCGUUUUUAAGUUAAAAAAAUAUCUUCCAUUUUUUAAUCCCUACGGUAAGUUUGUAGUAAAAAGAUUUUGUGAAAAAACUAUUUGGCUCCUUUGCACUAUUUUUUCCCCCCAAAUAAAACACAGCUAGUGUUUGCAUGAUUUGAAGCGAGCAGUAAAACUAUAGGGUACAGAGGCAUAAUAGUUCUUUUUUAACACAAUACUGUAUUGUAUGAUGUUCAUAGUACUAUUCGUCUAAUCAACGAUUUUCAUUUACCAUCAAGUAGGCCAUCAGUUUGUUUACGUUUUUUAGAUGCUUUAUAAUUAUACGUAUGUAAGUAGAUACGAUGCAAAUUUAAUGUACUGCUUAUGUAAUUGCUCUCUCUCUCUCACACACACUCACUCACUUACUUUGGUAUUAAUUGUAAUAACAAGUGCCAUAAAAUCACACCAAUUACUUGGUUUUCAAGCUAGAAUAUCCUGUGUUUUGAGAACUCAGGCAACGGACAUCUGGGCGUAUAACCUGGGAUAUUUAGACUAGGGCCAAAUUAAAGAAAUUCGUAGCCUAAAUUAGUAUUAAUAUUAGUUGAUCCGCAUAGCACUGUUCUUU
This is a long non-coding RNA of Galleria mellonella (greater wax moth), 1823 nucleotides long. RefSeq lists it as uncharacterized. The transcript is spliced from 3 exons. The record is from RefSeq and is a predicted model, not a curated record. Lineage: Eukaryota; Metazoa; Arthropoda; Insecta; Lepidoptera; Pyralidae.